AAUAUUGGACAAUGGGCGCAAGCCUGAUCCAGCCAUGCCGCGUGUGUGAAGAAGGCCUUUUGGUUGUAAAGCACUUUAAGCGAGGAGGAGGCUCCUUUAGUUAAUACCUAAAGUGAGUGGACGUUACUCGCAGAAUAAGCACCGGCUAACUCUGUGCCAGCAGCCGCGGUAAUACAGAGGGUGCGAGCGUUAAUCGGAUUUACUGGGCGUAAAGCGUGCGUAGGCGGCUUUUUAAGUCGGAUGUGAAAUCCCUGAGCUUAACUUAGGAAUUGCAUUCGAUACUGGAGAGCUAGAGUAUGGGAGAGGAUGGUAGAAUUCCAGGUGUAGCGGUGAAAUGCGUAGAGAUCUGGAGGNAANUACCGAUGGCGAAGGCGGCCAUCUGGCCUAAUACUGACGCUGAGGUACGAAAGCAUGGGGAGCAAACAGGAUUAGAUACCCUGGUAGUCCAUGCCGUAAACGAUGUCUGCUAGCCGUUGGGGCCUUUGAGGCUUUAGUGGCGCAGCUAACGCGAUAAGUAGACCGCCUGGGGAGUACGGUCNNGCANAGACNUANAAACUCAAAUGAAUUGACGGGGGCCCGCACAAGCGGUGGAGCAUGUGGUUUAAUUCGAUGCAACGCGAAGAACCUUACCUGGCCUUGACAUACUAAGAACUUUCCAGAGAUGGAUUGGUGCCUUCGGGAACUUAGAUACAGGUGCUGCAUGGCUGUCGUCAGCUCGUGUCGUGAGAUGUUGGGUUAAGUCCCGCAACGAGCGCAACCCUUUUCCUUAUUUGCCAUCGGGUAAUGCCGGGAACUUUAAGGAUACUGCCAGUGACAAACUGGAGGAAGGCGGGGACGACGUCAAGUCAUCAUGGCCCUUACGGCCAGGGCUACACACGUGCUACAAUGGUCGGUACAAAGGGUUGCUACCUCGCGAGAGGAUGCUAAUCUCAAAAAGCCGAUCGUAGUCCGGAUCGCAGUCUGCAACUCGACUGCGUG
Molecule: ribosomal RNA, 978 nt
Filed under: uncultured Acinetobacter sp.
Lineage: Bacteria; Pseudomonadati; Pseudomonadota; Gammaproteobacteria; Moraxellales; Moraxellaceae
Description: bacterial SSU rRNA
Rfam family: Bacterial small subunit ribosomal RNA
Source: RNAcentral